AAAAUCUGAAGCUCAAAAUGAAGAGCAGAUGCAGAUCUGAAUUAUAAUCAUCAAUACUACCAGUAGUAUCAUCCGCUCUUUAACAAAUCGACUUCUUCUCAUCAUUAUAAAAACUCUCCCUCAAAAGAACAUGAAAUUCUACCACCUUAUUACUUAAAUCUCACUGAAAUUUAUUGGUUACAGCGACUUCGAUUCUUCUUAUAAUUAUUUUUUUAAUGAUUAUUAGCUGUUCUUGUUAUGUUGAUUUGCGUUUUGUUUUAGUUAUUAUUUCUUUUAGAUGUGAGAAAAAUUCUUGAGUUUGUUUAAUUUUAGGGUUUAAAUAGAUAUUUUUGCCCCCAAUUUCGUGAUUUGGUAUCACAAAUCGACCCAAAGCUUAGUGGCUUUUCUUUGGCACUCUUAUUUAUUUUCUAAUACAUUCAUCUUAUUAAUUUUGUAAACACGGUGUUAAGAUUUAGUUUAGUUAUUUUCGUAAUCCUUGUAAUUUGAUUAUAUACUGAUGAUUUUGUGGUCAUCAUGUUCUAGGAAUGAUUUGGAUUUGUUUGAGAAAGCUGAUGAUGGAGUAUGCUUCACAUUUCAUUACCUCGCAUCCAGCGCCAUCUAUUCAUUGCAGAACACCGUUGCUGCUCAACAUUGCCGCUCACCAUUGCUGCUCACUAUUGCCGCUCUCCAUUUCUGCUCACCAUUGCCCCUCAGUCUUGUGUGGCGAGAUGGGGUUUGGAGAAAUGGAGUUCGGCGAAAUGGAGUUUGACGAAUUGGAGAUUUCCUCGGCAGAAUCUCUGGAAUAUUAUUCAUCUACACAUUAUAGGAGUGCUGAAGGAAGUUUUAUAUUCUAGCGCAUGUAAAAUAGAUGGGCUGUUAUCUUUACUAUAUAUCACCAGAAUGAUAGCAAUGGGAUUAAUUUGGAUAUCGAGAAUUCUUUAGCUGCAUUAGAAGAAGCUAUUGAUAUUGCUGUUUAUCAGAGUUUGUAUUACUGGGGAUAGGAUUAAUGGAUUGAGUGCUGGGAAUUCUGUUGCUUGAUAAUUCGAGGUUUACAACACAAAAGGUUUCAGAAUCAUCAUGUCAAUAGAGAAGAAAUAAAUCUCGGAAUAAAUAGUUGGAGAGAUUGCUGAAAAUACUUCCGGUUUGGAGCUCAAUGCAUUAGAUUAGAUUACCGACAUGGAGCUACUGGUGAAAUAGAGAGUAGAGAAGAAGAGUGGUGCACAGUCUCAUCAACAUCAUCAUCAAACAGAAAAGUCUCUCCAUCAGUCGAACAAAUCCUCCUCACUGGAUCCCACUCACUCACUUCUUCAGCUUAUUAAUUAACAAACAGAAAAGAACAAGCGAACACCUGCAGGCAGCAGCAGUUUCAUCAAUUACUUCUUCUUGAUUUUCACCUCUUAAACCACUAUAUCAUCAUCAACCUCAGCUAAUUAGAGAGGAAAUCACUUAAUUGUUUCAUCUUCUCAAUCAAUCAUAUUCUGUCGGUUCCAAGAUUAUUCUCCAAAAGAUUUGAUUUUCAUCAUCAGAACUUACUUCUUGUUUUUCACCUCUCAAACUACUACUUCAUCGUCAACACCAGCUAAUUAGAGAGAAACAUCACUAAAUUUGAGUGUGGUUUCCAAAGAUUUGCUUUUUUUCACUCCAUAAGCUUCACUAGAUCAAGGGGUGGUGAAGGAAAAGCAAAUUACAUCGAUGCUGAGGGCACUUUCAGGCCACAAUGACCCGUACAGAUUGUUGGCAGGCCUGGAUUGAAUGGUACCUAUGUUUUUGAGAAUGUGGUAUAUGCUAGAGCCUGUGGCACUGAUCAUUAGUCAAGAAUCUGCAAGACAGUGAUUGCUUGCACAAAUUUGUAUUGACUUGAGCUUCAGUAUCGUUUCUGAAAUUCCGCCUUUGCAAUUAGGCCUGUCAUGUUCCCUUCAUUGCCGCUGGGACUAGCUUUUUAAGUAUUUUUCCAAAGAAUUUAUUUGCACCCACACUCCACUUCAGCUAUCACUACUUCGAGACUGAUGCUCCAAAAGUUUUGUAUGCAGACACACCAGGAAUACCUCAAUCAUGGUGAUACUGAUUUAACACCUGCCUAUAUGUUUAUAAGGAGGAUGUGAAACAUUUUCAUAAGAAUUUCUCAAAGGCUUAUUUAAUGGAAGAAGGGAUAUUCAAUAUGGUUCAAAUACUGCAGCGUUAAAUGGAGUAGGAGAAGAGUGUUACGAUUCAAACAGCUGUAAUAGCAGCCAUAGUCCCCGUGUAACGAACAAACGUCACAGAGACAAGAUAUCACCGUAACACCAUCUGCAAGAUUUAAGGGUGUUGUUUGCAGGUUGCAGCCAAAUGGACGAUGGGGUGCACAAAUUUAUGCAAACCGUAACCUUAUUUGGAUUGGACAUUCAAAUCAGAGUCCGAAGCUGCUAAAUACUUAUGAUAGUGCUGCUGUCAAGCAUCAUCAAAGUGAAGACUCGCAUCGGAACUGUCCAGGAACUGUGGACACUUGGGGAAGUACUGAACAUACUGAUGGAUUAUAUCAAACAAAGUUGCUUGAAUUUAUCAACGCGCUUGUUCAGUGAAGCAAGAUGAGGAACCUGGUUUUGUCUGAACUUGUUUACAAGAAGUGCCAUCGACAGAGCUGUACCGUGCCAGAAGUUGUUUUGGGAAAUUUAGGACGGGGACCAGGUAAUUUUGGAAUCACCACAACCAGAGGAGUAAAAGGCCUUGAGACAGAUCAUAAAUUCAUCAUUGGCAAUAAGUAUUUAUUUUCAUUUUCUAAUUUAGCAAACUGGCCGGUUUGAGAGGCUCAAUUUUUUAAAUGCCAACUUUAUCCAUUGGUGACUUUAAACAUGAACGAUUUUUUGGGCACUAGCUCAUUUUGACGGGGGAAUACUCAUUUUAUUUGGGGAUGGAUAUUUGAAGUAAAAUCCAGACACCCCUUAUCUUUAUUUUCGUUAAUACCAAAAAAGCCCU
Molecule: long non-coding RNA, 2931 nt
Organism: Papaver somniferum (opium poppy)
Lineage: Eukaryota; Viridiplantae; Streptophyta; Magnoliopsida; Ranunculales; Papaveraceae
Exons: 11
Source: RefSeq, a predicted model, not a curated record